GUCCACGCCCUAAACGAUGUCGACUAGUUGUCGGGCCUUUACAGGCUCGGUAACGCAGCUAACGCGUGAAGUCGACCGCCUGGGGAGUACGGUCGCAAGAUUAAAACUCAAAGGAAUUGACGGGGACCCGCACAAGCGGUGGAUGAUGUGGAUUAAUUCGAUGCAACGCGAAAACCUUACCUACACUUGACAUGCCCGGAAUCUCGCAGAGAUGUGAGAGUGCCCGAAAGGGAGCCGGGACACAGGUGCUGCAUGGCUGUCGU
Molecule: ribosomal RNA, 263 nt
Filed under: uncultured bacterium
Lineage: Bacteria
Description: partial 16S ribosomal RNA
Rfam family: Bacterial small subunit ribosomal RNA
Source: RNAcentral